Molecule: long non-coding RNA, 10219 nt
Filed under: Nicotiana tabacum (common tobacco)
Lineage: Eukaryota; Viridiplantae; Streptophyta; Magnoliopsida; Solanales; Solanaceae
Description: long non-coding RNA (NTAB_LNC002862)
Source: RNAcentral
CAAGGACAAAACCAAAAGGCUCAUUUCAGCCAUUAAAACACCUGAAUAUAAGUUACAUGAAAGAAGCACAAAAGAAUAAACAACAGAACAAAUAAACACACACAAAUACUACUAAGGCAUCACAAACGGAAAAAAAUGAAACGUUAACUCAAAAGUUUGAGAAAACAGAAACAUGUAAUUAAGCCAAAAUAGUAAAAGAAAGGAGAGGAAUAUACCUCGUUAAAUUUGAAAUUUGAUUGUGUCACAAUCUUGAAUUCGGGAAUAUGAUGAAUCGCGGACGGAAGCUCGAAUCGUCACUGUAAAUCUCAUCUGGACUCGCACUCGGACAGAAUGUUUAUUCAAACUCGACUUAAAUCUGUUCUCACACUCAAAGACCAAAAAUCACAAAAAAAAAAUGAAGCAACAAAAAUGUUCUCCUCGGAUAUAACCAGCUCGCCGACGAGACAGAACCUGACGGGUGAGAGAUGAGGAAACGAAGAGGAGGCGAUUUUCUAAAGUUUGUGCUGGUUUUCUUAGAAUAGGGGUCGCUGAAUCAUUUGGGCGCGAGGUGAAGAAACAACAAUUGGUGGUUCUCUUUUGUGUGAGAGAUGAAGGGUCAUUCGUCAUUCCUGGGCAUGUGGGUGACUAGUUCUGGGCGGAGGAAAGCAGGCGGCGCCGCUGGUCUAAGCGGCUAUUGAGAGGUAGAGAUGAGUGGCAGAUGGUUUUUCUUGCAGUAGUCUUGAGAGGUGAAGAAGGUUGGGUGUAGGGUGAGAGUUAUAAGGAUGGGUAGUUUUUGUUUGUUCGCUAGCAGAGAGAAUGGUACCCGAGUUCGGUCGCUGAUGGUACGAGAGCUGGCCGACGAUGGCUGAAAGGCUGGUGCUCGGCGGCUUUCUUGUGUAGGUUCAGAUGGCUGCUCCUAUGGUCUUAAGGUUGAAGAAGGUUUUUUUAGUUUGUUGUGGGUUGAAGGAGAUGAAGCCAUGGCUGAAGGGUUUUUAUGUUCUAGGGUUUUUUAUGGGUUUAAGGAUAUUGGGCCUUAAAAUUGGGCCAUCUCUUGGACCUCUUGAAUUAAGACCAAAUAAAACUAACCUCAAAUUUCAUACUCUAUCUUCUAAAAGUGAUAUAAAAUUUAUAAUGUAAAAUAUAAAACCAAUUCUAAUUAAUUAAAAUAAAUAUUAUGUUGUGAAACUAUUUUGGUAUUUUUCAAGAUUAUGUAAAAAUAAAAAUUCUAGUAAAAUAGUAUGACUACAAACACUAAUGAAACUAUUUUUUUAUUUUUUGUGAUAAAAUAAUGUAAAAAAGUAAAAAUUAGUUGAAACAACUAUAUUAGACCUAAAUUAAGUAUUUAUAUGCUAAACUAUGUAAAAUCUUAGAGAGGGUCAAAAAUCACAUGUCUACAGCUGCCCCUCUUUGACUGAAAAUACAAAAUAUUUUCAUACAAAGAACGACUAGACAAGUUUUUUGACCCGACCCUUAUUUAGAGAGGCAAAAACUAAAAGAAAAGAAAAUGUGACCGAGCCCUGGUAUCUGAGCUGCCUACAUAUCCUUGGCUAUAAAAGAAUCAGGCCACGUGUAGUUCGGAGUGGGAAGAGCGAUGAAGUAUCGAGGUGGAGAGUCGAGUGAAGUGCCGUCGAGGUUCUGGUCCGCGGUUCCUGCCAUUACAUAAAAAAUAGAAGGAAAUAUUAUGGCAAAAGUAAAAGAAAAAUAUAAGAUCCUAUCUACUUCUUGUCUUGAAUCUUCCUUGAAUCUCUACUUGAGCCUUCAACAUGAAACUGAAAAAUGGGCCCUGUUCUUCAGGUGGGCUCCUAAUGCUUCUUGAAUUUGGAAAUUAAAAGUUGAUCCUGUUAUUCAGGAGGGGCUCCUGACGCAUCUUGAAUUUGAGAAUUGAAAGUAACUCUGAAAUGAAUUCCUUCGUUUUCCAGGUGGGCACCUGCCACUGAUUUAAAACUGAAAUGAAUUCCCUCAUUCUCCAGGUGGGCGCCUGCCAGUGACUUAAAACAUGAAAUGAAUUCCCUCAUUCUCCAGGUGGGUGCCUGCCAGUGACUUGAACUCGAAAUAAAUUCCCUCAUUCUCUAGGUGGGUGCCUGCCAAUGACUUCAACUCGAAAUAAAUUCCAUCAUUCUCCAGGUAGGCGCCUGCCAGUGACUUAAAACUUGAAGUGAAUUCCCUCAUUCUCCAGGUGGGCGCCUGCCAGUGACUUUAAACUUGAAGUGAAUUCCCUCAUUCUCCAGGUGGGUGCCUGCCAGUGACAUAAAACUUAAAAUGAAUUCCCUCAUUCUCUAGGUGGGCGCCUGCCACUAACUUGAAACUUUAGAUGACUUCCCUUAUUCUCCAGCUGGGCUCCUGUUGCUUACUUGAAAAUCACAAUAAUUCUGAAAUGGAUUCCCCCGUUCUCCAGGUGGGCGUCUGUUGUUAAAACUUGAAACUUGAUAUGGAUUCCCACAUUCUCCAGGUGGGCGCCUGCGACUGACUUGAAACUUGAUAUGGGUUCCCUCGUUCUCCAUGUGGGCAUCUGCUACUGACUUAGAACUUAAAAUAAAUUCUGAAAUGAAUGCCCUCGUUAUCCAGGUGGGUGCCUGAUUGCUAGAAACUUGAAUUGUAUUCCCUCGUAACCAGGUGGGUGGUUGAUUACCAAAAACUUGAAUUGUAUUCCAUCGUUAUCCUGGUGGGUGCCUGAUUACCAAAAACUUGAAUUAUACUCCCUCGUUAUCCAGGUGGGCGCUUGAUUUCCAAAACAUGAAUUGUAUUCCCUUGUUAUCCAGGUGGGCGCCUGGAUUUCCAAAACUUAAAUUGUAUUCCCUUGUUAUCUAGGUGGGCGCCUUCCAUUACAACAAAACAAACAAAACAAAAGAAAUUUUCUGCCCCAGUUUGGAAUCUAGGCACAUCUGUGAGUGUUAAUCGAAUUAUGUUACCUAAAGAGCUCUAAGAAUUUAAAAGCUAAAUCCCAUUAUCCAGGAGGGACCUGAAAACUUCAAAUUAAAUCUCAUAUUAAGAGUGACAACUUUAAAGAUAAGUUAUAUUUGCUACAGGUAGAACUUACGUUAAAUCUUGUUAUCUAUGAAGGUUUUGAAAUCUAACUAGAUCCCAUUAUCUAAGAGGGUCCUGAGAACUUUUAAAAUUAAAUCCCAUUAUCCAGGAGGGUCCUGAAAACUUAAAACUAAAUCUCAUUAUCCAGGAGGGUCCUGAAAACUUGAGAACUAAAUCCCAUUAUCCAGGAGGGUCCUGAAAACUUGAAACUAAAUUCCAUUAUCCAGGAGGGUCCUGAAAACAUGAAACCUAACUCCCAUUAUCCAGGAGGGUCCUGAAAGCUGAGAAUGAAAUUACCUGAGCCAUGCACUCUUCUUCGAGGAUUCUGAACAGAAAUUCUUGCCACUGAGCCAUGCCUUCUUCAUGGAAGGUUCCUUGUGGAUUAACAAUUUUUCUUGCCCCUGUUUUAGACAAAUAAAAUAUUGUUAGUUUGAAAACGUGGUGGUUAGUUUGUGGUAUCAUUGCUGAGUGUCUGUUUCUGCACUUGCCAAGAUAACUUUGAUUUCAACUUGGACGACCUUGAUUGUUAUCGACUACCCAUGUUUUUUCAACCCUUAUCACAGAAAACACCUCUGCUCCAUUCGACCCCAAUAUCCUCUAUCUGUUGCAUUUUGCUCAUGAAUUGACAUUUACCGAACCCUUGCAUUUUAUAAAUCCCAAAACAUGUUGAUUGUUACCAACUCAAUGCGCAUACCACUUUUCCCUAACUCAUGCCACUUUGAUGGGCUAGCCAAAUUCGUUUUGUGCAAUUGGAAAGCUAGUAGCAAAUUUUGAAGUCAUUUCUCACUUGUUCUGACCAAACAGACUCAAGAAGGGACUCAAACAAAACAAGAGGAACAAAAUAAGGGACAAGGGAAAGAGAUGAUACCUAACAAGAAAAUUACGAAGUAGAAACUUAUCAGAUGUGGAUACCAACUCUAAUGACCAUGACAUGCACCUUUGGAUUAAGUGGCCUAAUCUCUCAAGUAAGUCUAAUAUUCAACUCUUGCUGUACCUCUUCGCUGUGAAACUAGUCUUCAACGCUUCAAUUUUCCCAUUUGAUCCACAAUCCUCAGUCGACUUGUAGUGCCCUGAAGGUUUUCACCAUCAAGCCUCUCUCAUUUUGCUCUUUUCUCAACUCACCAUCGCCUUACGGUGCCCCUGAGGGUUUUCACCGAUAAGACUCUCUCAUUUUAUCAUUUUCUCUCAUUGUGCUGAGAACACAGGUAUUACCCAUGAUGCAGGAAGAUCAUACUUUCAGCCCACACAUGAUUUGGCAUCCUCAAAGAUUGUCGGAAGGUCUUUCUUUGGACCGUAAUGUAGGCUUUUGGACAGAGUUAGAAAGAAAGGGUGGCAUGAAGGCUCAAAAUAAUUUAAGAUAAAACGGUUCAAAAUUACAACUUUUGGAAUCAUGUCUUUUGGCAAAAUUAAAACCUCUGCCCCAGUUUCUUGGAGUUUGGGGAUUUCUUUUUUACUUUUUGCUUUGAUGGGAUUUCUAAGAAAAAAAUGCCCCACUCUUGACUUUGGGGAUUAUGAAAUAUUUUAUUUGGUGUGACCAAACCGUAAGUCUGCCUACGUAUCUUGUGGUGACAAGAAUUAGGUCAAACGUAGUUCAAAAGACAACUUAAACUUCAGGUUAUCUCAGAAUGCGUGAAUCUUUACUUGUUUCCUCAAACGCAUCCUUUUAUCAUAUUCAAAACGGUGCCAUUGCUUCAUGAUUAGACUAACUUUCAAGAUCAGGCUAAGGAUUAUGCGUGCAUUCCAUGUCACUAUAGUCGGCAUGAAAAGAAAUAUAAAAGAAAAAAAUGACCUAAACAAAAACUGACUAGAACUAACAGAAAAUAGGAGAUUGCAUUAAAUAGAUGAUGAAAAGGGUUUGAACAAGACAAGAAAAAUAGACAUGGGUUACAACCCUGGAACAAUCCUAAAUAACACUAGACAAGUUACUACAACUAAACAAACUAGACAAAAUGAGAAGAAAAAGAGUUUGAGCCACAAGACAAUGUCCGGAGUACAACCCCGAAAUAACCUGGACAAACAGAAAUGACAACAAAAGAAGCCACCAAAACUCCUCCCUGGGUAGCUAAGAAAGGAUUGUCUUUCCAAUUACCAAGCUCGACAUCUUAGCCACUGGGUUGCAUAUCAAAAUUACUAGGACCUUCACUAAUUUCAAUAUCAUUCACUUCAGUCAGCAAGUUCCCUAGAGGAUUCUCAUACUCCUUGUCACCAUGCAUCUCUCCCAUAAAGUGUGCAUUAUCAUGUGCAGGUAAAUGAUUUUACGUGAUGUUCUGGGUGUCACUGUCUUGGACCACAAUUAUCCCUUCUUGAAUCAUUCUUUCUAUCUCCCUUUUCAAAGCAUGACAAUCUUCAAUGUUAUGCCCUUGGACAUUAGAGUGGUACAUGAACCGUAUAGUAGGAUCAAAACCUUUUGCAUAUGGGUCCGGAAUAUAGCUGAUGAGUGGCUCAAUCAGGCUAGACUGUUUUAACUUUUCAAACAAGCUUGUGUAGGAUUCUCCGAUUGGAGUGAAAGACUUUUCUCUUUGCUGCUGCCUCCUCAUUUUGAACUCCGGCCUUGGUUGGAACCUCUUUCGAAUAGGGUGUAAUAUGCUUGUAGAGGUGGGUAAGACAUUUGUGGAGGCGGUGCAAGCCGUUGCGAGUUUUGUGAGUGUGGAGCAUAUGGCGGUGCAUUGCGGAUAGAGUACUGGAGAGGUGAGGUAUGACUUUGGGGAUUUUGUGGAGGAAAGUAUCAUUGGUGAGGAUUAUCUGGAGUACGAGGAUAUUUAUGGGGUCGAUAUUGAGGCUGAAAGCGCUUAGUAGGAAUGCCCACUGGAUCAUGUCUUUGGCGGGGCUUAGCAAUAUCUUUUCUAUCAAUUGGAGAACUGACCCGUGCAACUUGUUCGUUCCAUCUGAACCAAAACUCCCUAAAACAUUCCUUGGGUCUCUUUACUUGGGCAUCAGGGACUUUGAACAUAAUCUCGCUAGAGGAUCGAGGAAGAGUAGCUGGUGGAGGAGCUACAAAAAUAUGAGCAGAUGUCGGAGCAGGGUAUGAGGUUGUUUUGGCUGGUGGAGCAUGGAAAAUUUGGGAGGAAGUACCAGAGUAAUUGUGGUAAGGGGUAAAGCCCGGGGCAUGUUAAGGGAAAAGGUCAACGGUAGUAGGAAACUCUGCUUGUGAUAGUGGUGGGAUACUUGCAGGGUUUUCAGUGUAGUUAGUGGGGAAUGAAGGUGGAGGAUGCCCCCUGAUCCAAGACUGAUACAUUUCUGCCAUCUGUUGUUUCAACCUUUGGACCUUCUCUUUCAAUUCAGACUCCGACUCCAUAACCUCCCUCGACGGGUCAACAACUCCUGUGUUCAAGUCUUUACUAGCCAUGGGUACUUUGCUCUUUGACCUUGUGUUGUAUGGACGAAUCGCCAAAGUGACACAAACUAACCACCCUCUAUUAUGAUAACAAUUAAAGUAACAAAGGGGAGAAAAAGAAAGCCAGCAUGUUAACGUUAGGGUAUUUAUCAGAUAGAAAUAUUACAUUGCGUGCAAUACCCCUAGUCACAGUUAACGGUUUUAAAAUGGCUUCGAGGGUACGAAGGUCAUAUGGCAUCAUCCCAAUUUCACUCUUCUUGCCCCAUUUCCCUCUUCAUUUUCCUUUCUAACACCUCUUGGCUAACUCAUUUUCCUUCCCCUCUAUUCUUUUUAAUUGCCACUCUUUUCUUUCCUCUCAUUUCUCACGUCCCGCAACUUCAUUCUCUCCUUUUCUUCUUUUUUUUUUCCUUUUCUUUUUUUAAUGAUGAUCGAACCCUAUGUAGGUUGCCUGCAUAUUAUGUCCCUCAUGAAUUAGAUCAAGCGUAGUUCUGAAAAAAUAAUGGACAAAAUAAACUAAGAAACAAAUUUUUUUUUGGAUUUUUCAUUUAUAAAGUUUUUUGGUUUUUCAAAUACAGAACAAGAAGUACUAUAACAAAAAACUCGACAAUCUUAGCUAGACUGACAGACUCAAUACUACUGUACAAGACUAAAAAUUAAAAGACAACAUAAGAUAGACUAAAAAAUAAAAAGUUUCCUCAAGCAGCUCGUGCAUGCAAUGGUCUUGACUAGAAUGGUCCUGGGGUAUUUGUCAUGCUCAAACUCUAGCAAAUUGAUACAUACCUAAAUGAGAAAAAUAAGAUUAAAUAGAUUUAGUGACUCAAGGCACAUGUGACGCCACGGCACCUUCUAUUGGACACAUGCAAGGCAUGAUUAAGGCUAUUUUUGCAAAAUAACCUACGUGGCCAAGGUUGGUAUUAGUGUAAACUCAACAAAGGGGACCUCAAAGACAUGGAAAUACCUCACUAAGGCUUAUAUGGAUUAAACUCCCAGUAAUCAUGGCCCAAAAUCAAUUUGCAGAAUGACCCAUUUUGAAAAAAACGGCCGAUAUGGCCAGAAGUGGCCAAAGAUGCAAACUCAAAAAGGACGAACCUUAAAGUAAUAUGACACCUAGUUGUGGACUCAAGAUCCUAAGACAUGAGUUAUUGAACCACUUUUGCGAAAAUGACGCCAUUUUGCAAGAAUGGCCGAUGUGGCCGAAGGUGGCUACACAUGCAAGAUAUGGCUAAGACCCCGCAAAACCAAGAAGCUAAGACACUAGGAAGACCGGACCCUAUGUGGGUUGCCUACGUAUCUCGUCCCGAAAGAUGAGAAUCAGGUAUGCGUAGUUCGGGAAGAUCGGACAUGGAAGAAAGCUUUAAAAUGAAAUGCAACUAGUUUGGAAUUUUUUUUGUUUUUUUGAAAAAUGAUGGAAAAUGUAAAAUCUUUUUGGAUUUUCUUUUUCUCUUUUUUUUUUGAUUUUUGGAAAAAUAAGAAAGAAAAAUGUGAGUGGGCCCUACUUGCUUCAUUUUAUAUUUCACCCUCAAAUAUUCUUGGUCUGCCAAAUGACCCUUUUACCCUUAAAGAGAUGGAGCAUGUAGCACAUAGGGAUGAUUAAAUGUCUUUUUGGGCCAUAAGCCCAUUUUGACAUAGUUUGGAUAGGCCUCCUACAACGGGACACGGUGCCUGGGACCGAACCCUGCUAGGUUUAAAUGAUAUGAUGCACAUAAGUAUGACCUAAAGGCUGACCUACGGUUUGGGUUCACUAGACAAGGCAAUUCGGGGUGGCACGUGGUCGAUGGCGGCUGCUCUAGCUGUCCGCCCACUCCACGCUCCCACGCCACUCCCCUAAAGACACGGGUGACUAACAAAAGGGCCGUGUACGCUCAAACGUACUCCGGAAGACUUGUUGCAGAAAGAAGACUCGAGGUUAUGCAAAUGAUGACAAUUUAUAAAGCAGUAACACAUAUGGGAAAAACUGUAAACAAAUAAGCAACUAGCAAAUAAAACGACAUAAACAAAAAUGAAAAUCAAAUAAAACAAACAAAACACAUAAAAACCUCAACCAAAAAUCCUAAAAAGCCAACAAGAUCAAGUACUAGCUCGAACCUGCAACUCCCCAGCAGAGUCACCAGAGAUAUCACACCCCUUAUUUACAAACCUCACUAACCCUCUUAAAUUAAUAAAAAGAUUUGUGAAGCUCAAAAGGGUUUUCAAUUAGAAAGUGACAAAAAUUUAUGUUCAAAAGGAUUAACUCAGAGUCGCCACCUGACAUUUGUUUCGGCAUGCUAGGUCACCGUUUUUAAAAUGAUUUUCCUUUAAAAACGCUUUAGACUCAAAAACUAAGUCCGCACCAGAGAUUCGGGUAAGGGGUUCAUUUGACUCAGGGAGAAGGUGUUAGGCACUCCCCAAGUCCCGUAACUAGUACGGUUGCAUACUUUAUCUAGUCGGAUUUUAAAAUAUUCAAUUGAGGUAGAAAACACAGAAAAAGGAAAAUAAUUACACAAGAGGCUCGAGGUCUUCCCUACCUAAAUAAAAAAAAAAGAAAAAUGAAAAUAAAAUAAAAAUACUAAAAGUUUCUACUUUUGGCCUCUAUUUACAAAUACUUCGGGGCAUACCCCGGAUAAAAAUAUACACAAAUCCUUCGGGGCAUCCCCGGAUAAUAACCUAAAAGAAACGACCUCUCGCCUCGAUACUAAAAAAAUCCUAAGGCUUGCCUACCCAAGUGUGGUCGGCCUAAGCAUGUUACUAGCGAUUUCAAGCAAACAAGAUAAAACUAUUAACGUGCUGAAUUUAAUUUCUCAUUCUAUAUGUCCAAAACCCCAUAUUCAAUGCAGAACUCCAAUCAAUCUACUUAUAUAUAUGUAUAAUUAAUCCUUUUGUCAUCUGAAUGGUAACUGAAUCGUGGAACAUUAAAUAAAGCAAUAUGACAAGGACAAAACCAAAAGGCUCAUUUCAUCCAUUAAAACACCUGAAUAUAAGUUACAUGAAAGAAGCACAAAACAAUAAACAACAGAACAAAUAAACACACGCAAAUACUACUAAGGCAUCACAAACUUAAAAAAAUGAAACGUUAACUCAAAAGUUUGAGAAAACAGAAACAUAUAAUUAAGCCAAAAUAGUAAAAGAAAGGAGAGGAAUAUACCUUGUUAAAUCUGAAAUUUGAUUGUGUCACAAUCUUGAAUUCGGGAAUAUGACGAAUCGCGGACGGAAGCUCGAAAUGAAGCAAAACCUGACGGAAGCUCGAAUUCGGGGAUAUACCUUGUUAAAAAUGAAGCAACAAAAAUGUUCUCCUCGGAUAUAACCAGCUCGCCGACGAGACAAAACCUGACGGGUGAGAGAUGAGGAAAUGAAGAGGAGGCGAUUUUCUAAAGUUUGUGCUGAUUUUCUUAGAAUAGGGGUCGUUGAAUCGUUUGGGCGCGAGGUGAAGAAACAACAACUGGUGGUUCUCUUUUGUGUGAGAGAUGAGGGGUCGUUCGUCAUUCCUAGGCAUGUGGGUGACUGGUUCUGGGCGGAGGAAAGCAGGCGGCGCCACUGGUCUAAGCGGCUAUUGAGAGGUAGAGAUGGGUGGCAGAUGGUUUUUCUUGCAGCAGUCUUGAGAGGUGAAGAAGGUUGGGUGUAGGGUGAGAAUUAUAAGGAUGGGUAGUUUUUGUGUGUUCGCUGGCAGAGAGAAUGGUACCCAAGUUCUGUCGCUGAUGGUACGAGGGCUAGCUGACGAUGGCUUAAAGGCUGGUGCUCGACGACUUUCUUGUGUAGGUUCAGAUGGCUGCUCCUAUGGUCUUAAGGUUGAAGAAGGUUUUUUUAGUCUGUUGUGGGUUGAAGGAGAUGAAGCCACGGCUGAAGGGUUUUUAGGUUCUAGGGUUUUUCAUGGGUUUAAGGAUAUUGGGCCUUAAAAUUGGGCCAUCU